Molecule: ribosomal RNA, 472 nt
Filed under: uncultured bacterium
Lineage: Bacteria
Description: bacterial SSU rRNA
Rfam family: Bacterial small subunit ribosomal RNA
Source: RNAcentral
AUUGAACGCUGGCGGCAUGCUUUACACAUGCAAGUCGAACGGCAGCGCGGGCUUCGGCCUGGCGGCGAGUGGCGAACGGGUGAGUAAUAUAUCGGAACGUACCCAAGAGUGGGGAUAACGUAGCGAAAGUUACGCUAAUACCGCAUACGAUCUAAGGAUGAAAGCAGGGGAUCGCAAGACCUUGUGCUCCUGGAGCGGCCGAUAUCUGAUUAGCUAGUUGGUGAGGUAAAGGCUCACCAAGGCAACGAUCAGUAGCUGGUCUGAGAGGACGACCAGCCACACUGGAACUGAGACACGGUCCAGACUCCUACGGGAGGCAGCAGUGGGGAAUUUUGGGACAAUGGGGGCAACCCUGAUCCAGCAAUGCCGCGUGAGUGAAGAAGGCCUUCGGUGUAAGACUCUUUGUUCAGGGAGAAAAGGACUGUGGCGUAAUAUCCACAGCUGCUGACGGUACCUGAAGAAUAAGCACCGG